UCGACGCGACCGCAUGAUGAAAAGAAAAACACCAACACCCAGACAGUGUGCAGAGCAUCAAUCAGAGACAUGGUUUAAAGAAUGUAUUUUCAUUUGUGCCUUUUGAUAAUAUCUAAAGUGAUACAAGGUGCUGUCUGAGUUGUUUUUCAAAGUCGCUGAUUUUGAAGAUUGAUUCAUGAGCUCAAAUGGAACUAGGUGGCUUAACGUAGAGGCAAACCUGGUUCACUGUACCCACGAUGCCCAUCCCUAUGCAUUAACCUGUUUUAACAGUUGCAUUUGUACCCUCUACAUUCUUUCAUGAACAAGUAUAGUCAUAGGCUAUAAACAUAAUAGACUGAAGUCUAUCAUUAUCCUCUCUUAACUGUGGAGUAAUUAGGCUGCAUGUAUUUCACAUAGGUAUUUGGUUUAGUAUUUGCUAUUGACCUUGCAUCCCAUUUGGCUCUGUGAAAAACCUGUUCUGAUCGCCUGUUAACUUGGCUUUAGGCAGCAGGCCACAAACAUCCGUAAUUAAAUAUUAAUAGAGCAGAGUGAAUUAUUAUUAAAUACAUUUUUUAUAUCAUAAUUGUUAAGGACAGCAGCGUUGCAUCUUAUUAUAAAAAGAGGAAUGAAGAAAAAUGCCAGCCUGCUUGAUACUGCCAGCUAAUGGAACUACUUUAAUGGAACAUUAUGGGCAGUUUGUCCUCCAGUUUUUUAUCAAGUCCCCGUAAAAUAUUCCCUUAAAUUGUAAACAUCAGAGGCUUCAACAUAGGAACUGUUUUAAAUGUGGAACGUGUUCACUUAUUCAAUAUUGAGAGAUGUGGUUGUUUAUUUGGUACAUGUUUGACAGUUUUGUCUUGGUUAAUGCUUCCAUAAUGUGCCAUUGAAUUGACUUGAACAGGCGGAAAGGUCUUAUUUUAAUGUAUCCUACGCAUAGUCCCCCCCUUGGCCAAACUGCUGAGCAUGUUUAAGUAUUAAGACUUUAAUGCCAACACUGUCUGGAUGUAAAUCGCUGGAGCAGCAGUAAGAAACACUCUUUUCUUUUGCAGUUGGCCUUUGGAAUACCUGUUCUUCCAAAUACAUUCCAGCCCAGAGCUGUUGUUCAGACUAGGUGUAUCACCCUUGGGUGAGUCAUGGGCCUCUAUAAAUACAAUCAAAACGCUCACAAUGUGCACCAGUCUCUCAACUUCUUGAUCAGGUAAUGUGAACACAUGAUACAGUCAAUGUGUGCAGCAGUCUAAUAUUUAGAAUUUAAAGGUGUUGAUUUAACAUUGAAAGUGCUGAAGAUUAUGUUCCACUCUUUCUUUCUCAAGUAGUGUUGUGUACAGUGCCUGUCAACCAACCAGAUAAGAUGUCUAAGAAUUGCGGUAAGUCUACAAUUGUAUAGAUUUGAAUGUUUAUAUAUGUAUCUAUUUUCUUGAUUGAAUGGCAGAACAACUUUAACGUAUUCUUCCAUAUUUUCUUUCACCCAGACAAGCCAGAGGAGUGUAUGCCCGAAGGAGAGUGUGAGGAUCGUGGAAAGGGUUGUGACAAGGGAAAGGGAAAGGAUGGCGACUCUGAUGGAGUAAGAAACCUUGCAUAUCUGCUGUAACUUUUUGAGUCUCAAUGGCUAUCCAACUUACUAUCCUACUUCCUCUUUGCUCCUUUUUUUUUUUCUUACAGGAAGAGAAGUGCCAUGGAAAGUCGGGUGGACGUGGGGGACACGGAAGGGGAGGAGGCCCGGACUGUGGAGAGCGUGGUGGAAAGGAAGUUCUUCUUUGUAAGAAGAACUAAUGACUUUGUUUUGUCUGAAGUAAAAUAAUAUAUAUAUAUAUAUAUAUAUAUAUAUAUAUAUAUAUAUAUAUAUAUA
Molecule: long non-coding RNA, 1825 nt
Organism: Gadus macrocephalus (Pacific cod)
Lineage: Eukaryota; Metazoa; Chordata; Actinopteri; Gadiformes; Gadidae
Exons: 4
Source: RefSeq, a predicted model, not a curated record